Long non-coding RNA from Vespa velutina, 466 nucleotides. RefSeq lists it as uncharacterized. The record is from RefSeq and is a predicted model, not a curated record. Lineage: Eukaryota; Metazoa; Arthropoda; Insecta; Hymenoptera; Vespidae. The transcript has 3 exons.
ACGUUUCUAACAUUGUCGCGCAUCGCACCAAACAAAUCGAUCUUUCUCCAUAUAGUAUUGCAUACAUAUAUGUAUACGUCCACAUAUAUAUACAUAUAUAUAUAUACGGAUCAAUUUUUAGUCAUAUCGACGAUUUAUCGUCGUUUAGAACAAAAGAAUGUCACAUAUAAAAGAUAUAUUGUCGACGAACGAAUCUCAAACGUCACUAUCCUUUUCUUUUAUAUCAGCUGUAAUUACUAUUAUUACUGGAUAGGUCACGUGGACGGAACAGCGCAUUAUUCUUUUUGUGCUGUAUUUAUAGUUAUUUACACAUCACGAACUCUUCUAUGGAUAGGAUAUAUAAUUGUGCAUAUAUGUAUAUAUAAAUUACAUAGAAAUUACAAUACAUCUUAUCUGUAUUUAUGUCGUAAUUACAAUGACAUACGAAAAUGUGCGUCAUUAGUUAUGCAUAACGAGAGUCAACAAA